Non-coding RNA from Cinara cedri, 212 nucleotides. The record is from the annotation of a GenBank genome assembly. Lineage: Eukaryota; Metazoa; Arthropoda; Insecta; Hemiptera; Aphididae.
CGAUAUCAUAUUUAGAUGACUGUGUGCAUCUCGGGCGAGUUUAGAGAUAUAGAAAACAAUUUUUUUGUCCGUUUUUCGAAAAAAACCGCACUGUAUUUACUUUUGGUCUCAGAGAAGAAAUCAUGAGUCAAUUUUUAGAUUAUUUUUUAUAAUUUAUUUUAUUUUGUAUAGUUUUUGAGUCGAAAUGUCAUGACGUAUGUAUAUUUUAACAC